AUGCGGGAGGACGAGUUGUUGUGCGAUGCAUGGUUGGCCACUAGCCUCGAUCUGAUCCAUGGCACGGAGCAAAAGGGCACAACAUUUUGGAACAACAUUCACAUUUGGUUCCACGAACACAAGCAUUUCACCCCUUGCUCCUACGCGGUCAUCCACAACCAUGAAUCGAAGUCCCUCAACCAUCGAUGGCACACCAUACAAGAGGUUGUGUCCAAGUAUUGCAGGCACUUGAAGCAUCUCAUCGCACAGUGGCCUAGCGGUGCACAAAUCACCAAGCAAGUAAGUUGA
This 288-nucleotide ribosomal RNA is filed under the name Triticum aestivum (bread wheat). RNAcentral's name for it is "partial small subunit ribosomal RNA". Lineage: Eukaryota; Viridiplantae; Streptophyta; Magnoliopsida; Poales; Poaceae. The record is from RNAcentral.